This is a non-coding RNA of Prauserella sp. Am3, 249 nucleotides long. The record is from Rfam. Lineage: Bacteria; Bacillati; Actinomycetota; Actinomycetes; Pseudonocardiales; Pseudonocardiaceae.
UUGUUGGAGAGUUUGAUCCUGGCUCAGGACGAACGCUGGCGGCGUGCUUAACACAUGCAAGUCGUACGCUGAAGCCCGCGCUUGCGUGGGUGGAUGAGUGGCGAACGGGUGAGUAACACGUGGGUAAUCUGCCUUGUACUCUGGGAUAAGCCUGGGAAACUGGGUCUAAUACCGGAUAGGACCAUUCCUCGCAUGGGGGGUGGUGGAAAGCUCCGGCGGUAUGAGUUGAGCCCGCGGCCUAUCAGCUUG